RNAcentral lists this transfer RNA (83 nucleotides) under Modicella reniformis. It matches the Rfam family "tRNA". From Rfam's summary of the family: Transfer RNA (tRNA) molecules are approximately 80 nucleotides in length. The record is from Rfam by way of RNAcentral. Lineage: Eukaryota; Fungi; Mortierellomycota; Mortierellomycetes; Mortierellales; Mortierellaceae.
CCGAAAAUAGCUCAGUUGGUAGAGCGGGAGACUGUAGUAAAGCUGUCAUCUCUAGGUCCCUGGUUCAAAUCCGGGUUUUCGGA